GAUACAACUGGUCGCAGCCCUAAGGUUUUUAUUCUUGAAUGCUGAUAUACACAUAAAAGUCACAAAUGUGGCUGAAUAAGUUUGAUGCUUAAGUGGAAAUUUCUUCAUCGUAUUAAAGCUAUGCUCAUUGUUGGUUAUAUAUUUUGAGCAUUCCAUUGGAAAUUUAAUUGACUGUUCUGUUAUUUUUACUAAUGGAAAUUUGGAAUGCUGCGUAAUUAGAAUUGAGUGAGGGAUGGUGAGUGUGUACUGUAUAAAGACAUCAGAAGAACGAAAGGAAUAUCUCCUUUUAUUUGGCCUCUACUUUUCCAUAUUCUUACAAUAAUCGUUGACAUUUCAUAUGAAAGGUUUUUUUUUUAAUUUUUUUUAAUUAUUUUUUUUAAACAAUGUUGUGCAUUGAUCUUCUCAUUUUUCAAGCUCUCACUAAGUCACUGUGGUUCCCAAUUUAGGCAUAUAAUGGACAUUAUGUUUUGUCUGUAUUUUUGUUUCACCACUUCUAUAUUAAAUUUUUUGUGUCUUUGCAAUCCCAUAUUCAUUUUUACUACUAAUAUCUUUCAGGCACAUGAUAAUGGCAUUUUUUUUAAUUAUUUUUUAUAUAGAUUUCUUGGUUGAAGCAACAUU
Molecule: unclassified non-coding RNA, 618 nt
Filed under: Hevea brasiliensis (rubber tree)
Lineage: Eukaryota; Viridiplantae; Streptophyta; Magnoliopsida; Malpighiales; Euphorbiaceae
Source: RNAcentral